CCCUGAGAAACGGCGUGGCCACGGGGGACACAGUGACCCCGCCCGUCACCGGAGAGGGACGGACGGACACUGGCGGGACAGAGGCCGCGCGGCCUCACAGACCAGGAGGGAAGCUCAUGGGUGACAAGGGCAGGAACACAUGUUCACCCCGUGACGUGUGUUUUGACCAUCAGAUCGUCAAAGACAAAAUCAAGCUCUGCAGGCAGACGUGUGGGCUGUGCCCUGACCGUGGGGACAACAGUGCAACCCAGUCCUGACCUGGGUCUCGUCCUGAGCAUGAAAACAGGUUCCGUGGGAAACGGAAGACACUGAGCCGCACGCCGUGUGAGUGGCAGUCGCGUGACAGCCGAGCGCGCACGAAGGACCCUGUCUCCGCGGGCAGAGCCACGAUGACCCACGCUUCCCUUUCAGGCUCCGGUGGGGACGCGCUAGGAGGCCACACUGUGCUGACAGGAGCGCUUCCCUCCGUCAACGCGUCUGCAGAGCUGACAGGCAGUGGGGA
Long non-coding RNA from Myotis davidii, 502 nucleotides. RefSeq lists it as uncharacterized. NCBI's taxonomy places the organism in Eukaryota, Metazoa, Chordata, Mammalia, Chiroptera, Vespertilionidae. The transcript has 3 exons. The record is from RefSeq and is a predicted model, not a curated record.